This 2828-nucleotide ribosomal RNA is filed under the name Alphaproteobacteria bacterium. RNAcentral's name for it is "23S ribosomal RNA". It matches the Rfam family "Bacterial large subunit ribosomal RNA". The record is from RNAcentral. Lineage: Bacteria; Pseudomonadati; Pseudomonadota; Alphaproteobacteria.
AAGUGUCUUGAGAAGAGCAUCUGGUGGAUGCCUUGGCGACAAGAGGCGAUGAAGGACGUGGCAUGCUGCGAUAAGCUGUGGGGAGGUGCAAGCAACCUUUGAUCCGCAGAUUUCCGAAUGGGGAAACCCGGCACUGUAGUGUCACCCGAGAGGGGGCGAACCCGGAGAACUGAAACAUCUCAGUACCCGGAGGAAAGGACAUCAAUUGAGACUCCGUUAGUAGUGGCGAGCGAACGCGGACUAGGCCAGUGAUUAUGCUGAUAUAACUGGAACGUUCUGGGAAGGACGGCCGUAGAGGGUGAUAGCCCCGUAUAGGUAAAACAGGCGUAAUCCUUGAGUAGGGCGGGGCUCGUGAAACCCUGCUUGAACGUGGGAGGACCACCUUCCAAGCCUAAGUACUCCUUGUCGACCGAUAGCGUACAAGUACCGUGAGGGAAAGGUGAAAAGUACCCCUAUGAGGGGAGUGAAACAGUUCCUGAAACCGGAUGCUUACAAACUGCUAGAGGGCGAAAGCCUGAUAGCGUACCUUUUGCAUAAUGGGUCAGUGAGUUCGUCUGGCAAGCAAGCUUAAGCCGUUAGGUGUAGGCGCAGGGAAACCGAGUCUGAAUAGGGCGCAAAGUUUGUCGGAUGAGACCCGAAACCGAGUGAUCUAGGCAUGGCCAGGUUGAAGGUGACGUAACAGUCACUGGAGGACCGAACCGACUUCUGUUGAAAAAGGAGCGGAUGAGCUGUGCCUAGGGGUGAAAGGCCAAUCAAACUCGGAGAUAGCUGGUUCUCCGCGAAAACUAUUUAGGUAGUGCGUCUGGUAUUACCGCCGGGGGUAGAGCACUGAAUGGGCUAGGGGGGCGCGAGCCUUACCAAACCUAAUCAAACUCCGAAUACCGGUGAGUAGAGCCAGGCAGACAGACUACGGGUGCUAAGGUCCGUGGUCGAGAGGGAAACAGCCCAGACCGCCGUCUAAGGUCCCUAAGUUAUGACUAAGUGGGAAAGGAGGUGGAGUUGCAUAGACAACCAGGAAGUUGGCUUAGAAGCAGCCAUCUUUUAAAGAAAGCGUAACAGCUCACUGGUCAAGCGACUCUGCGCCGAAAAUGUACCGGGGCUAAAGUCAUACACCGAAGACGCGGGUUUAAAGAGCAUACGCUUAAUGACAUUUGGGAAUUGUUCAUGUCGAUCCCGAUUCAUUGAGCUCGUUGGACGCAGUUUCGACUGGGUUCGGCGGACGUAUCAAUGACGGUUUCCAACUGUCAUUGAGUGUAUGUGAUUUAAGCAGUAGCGGAGCGUUCUGUAGGCCGAUGAAGCCAUACCCGGGAGGGAUGGUGGAGGUAUCAGAAGUGAGAAUGCUGACAUGAGUAGCGACAAAGAGUGUGAGAAACACUCUCGCCGAAAGUCCAAGGGUUCCUGAGCUAGGCUAAUCCGCUCAGGGUGAGUCGGCCCCUAAGGCUAAGGAGAAAUCCGAUGCCGAUGGGAAUACGGUUAAUAUUCCGUAACCAGGUGUGAGUGACGAAUGGCGUAAGUUGUCAGUGCUAAUUGGAUUGUGCUGGCAGCGAAGCUGUUCCAGGAAAGAGCUCCACCGCAUGACCGUACCCGAAACCAACACAGGUGGACUGGUAGAGCAUACCAAGGCGCUUGAGAGAACUACGUUGAAGGAACUCGGCAAAUUGCCUCCGUAAGUUCGCGAGAAGGAGGCCCCGUCUUUGGGCAACCAGGGGCGGGGGGCACAGACCAGGGGGUGGCGACUGUUUACUAAAAACACAGGGCUCUGCUAAGUCGCAAGACGACGUAUAGGGUCUGACGCCUGCCCGGUGCCUGAAGGUUAAGGGGAGCGGUGAGAGCUGCGAACCGAAGCCCAGGUAAACGGCGGCCGUAACUAUAACGGUCCUAAGGUAGCGAAAUUCCUUGUCGGGUAAGUUCCGACCUGCACGAAUGGCGUAACGACUUCCCCACUGUCUCCAACGUAGACUCAGCGAAAUUGAAUUGCCCGUGAAGAUGCGGGCUCCCUGCGGUCAGACGGAAAGACCCCGUGCACCUUUACUACAGCUUUGCAGUGGUAUUAUGGGUUACAUGUGUAGGAUAGGCGGGAGCCGUUGAACCAAUGCCGCUAGGUGUUGGGGAGGCAUCCUUGAAAUACCGCCCUUGUAAUCUGUGAUAUCUAACCCGUAUUCGGGGACCCUGCAUGGUGGGUAGUUUGACUGGGGCGGUCGCCUCCUAAAGAGUAACGGAGGCGCGCGAUGGUGGGCUCAGGUUGGUCGGAAAUCAACCGUCGAGUGUAAUGGCAUAAGCCCGCCUGACUGCGAGACUGACACGUCGAGCAGAGACGAAAGUCGGCCAUAGUGAUCCGGUGGUCCCGAGUGGAAGGGCCAUCGCUCAACGGAUAAAAGGUACGCCGGGGAUAACAGGCUGAUCUCCCCCAAGAGUCCACAUCGACGGGGAGGUUUGGCACCUCGAUGUCGGCUCAUCGCAUCCUGGGGCUGGAGCAGGUCCCAAGGGUUUGGCUGUUCGCCAAUUAAAGCGGUACGUGAGCUGGGUUUAGAACGUCGUGAGACAGUUCGGUCCCUAUCUGCCGUGGGUGUACGAGACUUGAGAGGAUUUGCCCCUAGUACGAGAGGACCGGGGUGAACGUACCUCUGGUGUACCGGUUGUUGCGCCAGCAGCACCGCCGGGUAGCUAAGUACGGACGGGAUAACCGCUGAAAGCAUCUAAGCGGGAAACCCACCUCAAAACCAGGUCUCGCUGAGAGCCGUGGAAGACCACCACGUUGAUAGGUCCGGUGUGGAAGCGCAGUAAUGCGUGUAGCUAACGGAUCCUAAUCGCUCGAUAGCGACACUUGC